Mirounga angustirostris (Northern elephant seal) is the source of this 4081-nucleotide long non-coding RNA. RefSeq lists it as uncharacterized. The record is from RefSeq and is a predicted model, not a curated record. Lineage: Eukaryota; Metazoa; Chordata; Mammalia; Carnivora; Phocidae. The transcript is spliced from 3 exons.
GCAGUGGGGGGUAGGGGAUGGAAUGGGUGAGAUGCUUCCUGGGAGGGUAGAAUGGGUACCUUCCUUCAUACACUAUCACCUUUUCUUGAAGCAUAAUUUACCUGUAGGAAAGAAUACAUAUCAUAACUCAGGAGCCUGUUGGGUUUUCAGCAGCUGGACUCACUCACCAAACCCACUUCAGAAAGAGCGAGAGCAGGAACACAAGCAGGGGGAGUGGAGAAGGAGAAGCAGUCUUCCUGAUGAGCAGGGAGCCCAAUGUGGGGCUCAAUCCCAGGACCCUGGGAUCAUGACCUGAGCCGAAGGCAGACGCUUAAUGACUGAGCCACCCAGGCGCCCCUACGCCACGAUUUUUAAAUCUAUUCUGCUAUUGACGAGAUGUGGGUGGUUUCUGGAUUUUGUUGUACAUGACUUAACAGAGGUGAAAGCCCCACCACUCUGAAUCCUCUGUCUGAAUUAUCUGAAAGGCAUCACCAUAGAGGCAUGCUGCUCGGUACUCAUCUUUCUCACUGGGCCUUCCUUAGCAAGUUACCAACUCCCUGAUGCUCUGAGCUCCAGGGGCCUUUCCUCCCAGCAGAAGGCAGAGGACAGGUGCCUGACCAGGGCAUUGCACACUCCAGGUUGCAGGGGAAGAACCGACGAGGUCCUGGGCAGACACCGGACCUCAGUCCUGAGAGUGGAGCUCAGCCUCCCGCUCAGGACGCAGCUAGCUGGCUGCCCUGUGUGUCCACCGUGAGUCCUUCACCUGCUAGGGGGCUGCUCCUGCCAUUUUCUCUCCUUCCUGGAAGCUGCUCACCUACCCUGGGACCCAAGAAGUCUGCCUUCUCACCAGCAGGAAGGCUAAUGCCCAUGGCAGGAUUUCCAGAAGCCUCCCCCAAGGCCAGAUCUGUGGGGAGUAACCAGGGACUCGGUUUCCUGUGAACUUGCUCUGACGCGGCUCAGAGGACAGAGAGCUGGAGGGGCCUUCCAGAGGCGCCUGCCAGCAUGGCUCCGGUUUGAUGCGAGGGCCUCCUUUGGCCUCACCAGCUCACACUGGGCUCCUUCGGGGGCCACCUUCCUCUGACGGUGUGGGUCCUGUUGGCAGCGUGGGGCAACUGCUGGUGGCCACUGUGUUUCCCACAGACUUUCUGAAAAAUUACUGAGUUUUAAAAAUUGGAUGUGAACAUAUGUAUGUGAUUUGAAAUUCUAGCCCUAUUUACAAGAAUACAAUGAAAUUAGUUGCCUUCCUCUUCCAGAGCUCAGGCUUCCUCCCAGAGGCUCCCAGUAGGGAGAGUUCCCAGUACAUCCUUCCACAGUUUUCUCUUCAAAUAGAAACAUAGCCAUAUAUGUGCAGUCCUGUCGUGCGCACACUUUGUCACUUAGAAAUAUGCCUUGGAGAUUGUCCCUUAUCAGCUCCUACAGCUCUGGCACUUUUAUUCAAGUCUGUGUUCAAUAAUUUAGUCAUAGCUCAUGCCAUUAACCAGACCCUGCAAACUGAUUUCUUUGGAGGGGUGGGCGUAGAUGGAGGGAGUUUAUUCUCCUAUUAAGAUUUUGGUAAGGUUUUUUUGGGUUUUUUUUACUGAAAUGUAAUACAUAUCUCUAAAGUUAACCCUUUGUGAGAUGUGUGUGUGUGUGUGUACAUGUCUGCAUUUUUUUUCUCAGUUUGCCAUUUGCCUUUUGACUUCAUUUAUGGUGUUAUUUUUAUUUCCAGAGAACUCUAUUUUUUAAUCUAAUUAAAUUUUUUACCUAUGUCCUUUAUGGCUUCUGAAUCUGUAUUUUGUGUGGACAGAGCCUUUCCCAUCCCACACCUAUAAGAGAAUGAUUACCUGUUCCAGUCGUUCACAGUUUAACUUUAUACCUAACUUUUUGUUGUUGUUGCUACAUCCGGAGUAUAUUUUGCUACAUGGAAAGUUACGAGAUUUCAUUUAAUGUUAUUCCAGAUUUCAUUAAUUUCAUUUACUGACCAAAUCUUCCUGCUGUAUUUAUUUGAAAUUCCAUUUUAUCAUAAAUGAAACUCUGAUAUUAUUCAGGUAUCCUCUGCACUCAGUUGUCUUCCUUGGCUCCUGUGUCUAUUCAUACGUCAUAGCACCACAUCGCUUAUGCUUCUGUAGUCUGUGACGCUUACAUCUGAGUUUUAUGUGCCUAAAUCUCCACUUGAUCCUUUUAUUUCCCUCACUCUUCCUUUUUUCUAGGAUCUCCUUAUAGAUAAAAACCAGCUUAUCUAGUUGAAACUGAACUAUCUUUCUAUUUUUGUCUAGACAACCAUACACAUAUAGAUCAAUUGGAGAAGAGUUUCAAGUUGAUCAUGUGAGGAUUUUCAAUCCCAGAAGACAGAUUAUCUUUCCAUGUAGUCAUAGCCUUAAUUUUUUUUUUCUCUUUGGUGUUUUAAGUUUUUGUCAAGAGAAGUGAUUUUUAUUCUUCGGUGUUUUUUAAAUCUUUUUUUUUUAUUGCUAACAUAAAUGGAAUAUUUUUUUUCCAUUUUAUUGUCUGACUGGUUUCAGUUUUUAAAAAGUCACUGAUUUUUGCAAAUUAAAUUUGUAGCUAGGCACUUGACUGAACUGCCCAUUAUUUAAAAUAAUUUUUCAGUUCUCUUUGUUCUUUCAUGCAUAAUACAUUCUGUCUGCAAACCUAAUAAUUCACCCUCUCUAUUUUUGAAGUCAGUACUUCUCCUAUGUUAAUUGCACUAAAUAGCACCUCAAGAUACAUUCUAUGAUGUGACAUUAGUUGACAUAUUUGAGGCUUGUAUGGGAAUGUUACUAGCAUUUCACCACGAAGCAUGCAUUUUUAUCACCAACAGUUUUAUCAUGUUGUGGAAGCAAAUAUCUAAUCUUAUUCAGUUGAUUUUUAAAAUCAGAAAUUUGUUGAAUUUCAUUGAAUGCCUUGCUGACCUCUAUGGAAAGGAUUGUAUGUCUUUUCUCUUUUGACUUGGUAAGAGAUGCAGGUGGAGCCCCCACUCCUGACCCCCCACUUGAGAUCUGCAUUCAAGCUGGGUGCACCCAUCUGCUAGCUGCUGGGAGUGCAGGCUGCUACGGGCUCACAGUUGCCAUCUCUCCGAGAAUUGCCCUGAGACCACAGGGCCCUUUUCCCACAGAUCCCCUGGAGGUGGACACAGCCCAUAGUCACACUGGGCUGGAACUGGUUACAGAUAAUCAGAACCCUGGCCUCCAGCUGGAGCAGGCGGAGGGGUGCAAAUCACCCUCCAGAGCCCCCUGCAGAUCAGACCAAAGCUGAACUCCAGAGGAAACUCCUAUUCACUCUGGGUCUCCCCACCUGCUCCUGCCCCUUAAAGCUUUCUCCCAACAGCUCCCCUGAUAAAGCACCUGCGUAAGAAUCCCCACCUCAGGCUCUGCUGAGUCUGACAUAAAGUCGUAUGCAUGGCAAUUGACUUCCUAACUUGGCCCACACUCGCAUUUCACGGAGGAACCCUACAUGGUGGAGUUUCUUGUUUCUUUAAUGUAUUCCUGGACUAUAUUUGCUAGUCUUUCACUUACGUUUCCAUUAAUAAUCAUAAAAAGAUUAGUUUAUUGUUUUAUUUUUGUGUUUUCUCAGGACUUAGCAUCAUAUGUGCUAAAUAAAAAUAAUUAUGAGGCUCUCUCUUUUUAUCAACCUAGAACAUUUAAAAUGACAUUGGAAUUAUCCAUUACUUCAAUUUGAGGGUUUCAUCACAUUUCAUAAAAAUUAUCUGGACCUUGGUGGGGGGUACAGACUAUCAGUAACAUUCUCAACUGUUCCAUGGUAAUUUGUCUAUUUAAAUAUUCUAUUUCUUCUGAAGUCACAAGUAUUUUUUCCUAGAUAGGGAAAAAUGCAGAUACUGAAUGUUUCCAGGGUAACAUCCAUUCUAUUUUGCUUACAUGGUUUUAAAUAAAAUAUACUUUCAAAAUUACUUUAUUUUCAUCUGCUUUUUGUGUUAGUUCUUCAUCUCAUUUUUACUUUUGUGCUUUGUGCUUCCCUUUUAUUUCCUUGUUAUAAAAAUAGUUUUGUUGGGCGCCUGGGUGGCUCAGUCAGUUAAGCGGCUGCCUUCGGCUCAGGUCAUGAUCCCAGGGUCCUGGGAUCGAGUCCCGCAUCGGGCUCCCUGCUCUGCGGGGAGCCUGCUUCUCCCUCUCCC